RNAcentral lists this long non-coding RNA (538 nucleotides) under Mytilus galloprovincialis (Mediterranean mussel). The record is from RNAcentral. Lineage: Eukaryota; Metazoa; Mollusca; Bivalvia; Mytilida; Mytilidae.
GUAUAAUUUCAAAUAAAGCAAAACAUUAUGUUUGCACCUGUAAUCUGUACAAUAGCUGACUGAUUGCAUGAUAAUCAGAUAUAUGUUACCUUCCGGAUUGUCAACCCAUAUCACCUGUAUGUAUUUUAAAAUGAAACCUUCUUUAUAGUAAAUUACGAAAAAGUAAUCAUGAUGCAUACUCAUCCAUCCACUUUGAAGCAUGUAUGAAUCAAAAUUUCACUUCAUAUCUUUGAAAAAAAAGUCAUCCGGCCUGAUGAACUAAUUUCAGCUAGUUUCGUUGGUUCGUGUCUAUAUAUUUGAUUUUGGUAAAUUGUAUGUCACAAUGUAUGGCUGUCUCGUUUUAAUUUAAUUCAUUCGUUUCAGGUUUUUAUCCUCAAUGUUUGCCAUUUGAUUACGAAUACUCCGUUUUGGGUUUGCCUAUAAGUUUUGAAUUUUCUUCGUGGUUGAGAAUUUUGUAAUGUUACUUUUGAAGUGUUUAAACGUUUAUAUGUAGGACAUUUUAUAGCAGACUGUACUGUUUUAAGAUUUCUUAUUGUUG